Molecule: long non-coding RNA, 270 nt
Organism: Cydia fagiglandana
Lineage: Eukaryota; Metazoa; Arthropoda; Insecta; Lepidoptera; Tortricidae
Exons: 2
Source: RefSeq, a predicted model, not a curated record
CAUGCACACUUCCACCAAAAAUUGGUUUGAACGAGAUCUAGUAAGUAGUUUUUUUUAAUACAACUGAAACUCAAAAAUUUUUUUUUCAUCGAACCCAUACGUGUGGGGUAUCUAUGGAUAGGUCUUCAAAAAUGAUAUUGAGGUUUCUAAUAUCAUUUUCUUCUAAACUGAAUAGUUUGCGCGAGAGACACUUCCAAAGUUGUAAAAUGUGUGUCCCCCCCCCUGUAACUUCUAAAAUAAGAGUAUGAAAAAACUAAAAAAAAUAUAUGA